This 461-nucleotide ribosomal RNA is filed under the name Alpioniscus kratochvili. RNAcentral's name for it is "partial 16S ribosomal RNA". It matches the Rfam family "Bacterial large subunit ribosomal RNA", at positions 1929 to 2620 of the family's 2925-position model. The record is from RNAcentral. Lineage: Eukaryota; Metazoa; Arthropoda; Malacostraca; Isopoda; Trichoniscidae.
GGCCGCAGUAAACUGACUGUGCUAAGGUAGCAAAAUCAUUAGCCUUUUAAUUGAAGGCCAGAAUAAAAGAUUUGACAUAGAGCCAGCUGUCUUAGGAUUUAUAAAUACAAUUUUAUUUUAAGGUAAAAAAGCCUUAGUAUAUUAAAAAGACGAUUAGACCCUAAAAUCUACCAAAGUAUAAAUUUAGUUUUAAGAUUACUAAAGUUGGAUAUUUGGUAUACUGGGGCGGUAAUUUUUAUUCUUAAACUAAAUGAAAUUAUACACUAAUGGGUGGCUACUAUUUAACCUCAAUGAAUACAACAAGAUACUUUAGGGAUAACAGCAUAAUAUAUUUUUAGAGUCCCUAUCGGCAAAUAUGCUUAUGACCUCGAUGUUGAAUUGAAUAAACUGCAUUUAGCAGUAUAAAUGUAAGUGAGUCUGUUCGACUCUUAAAAGUUCACAUGAUUUGAGUUCAAACCGGC